CACCACAACACGAGCCAAAUCUUGUCCACGUGUUGUCUGGAGUUCUGAGGGCGUGGGGGGGGGGGAGAUGAACAGCAGCCUCACUCACGGCACCCAACCCACACACAAUGGAGGAGGAGGCGUGGGAGAGCCCCCCGCAGGUACACAGGGGGCGCAACCCACUCAGAACCCACCCCAGCCCACGCCACACGCCCUUAAACACGCCAAGACACACCCCAGGAAGCAGUCGUGACACGUCGCCAAACUGGAGUGAAGUUUCUGAUCAAUCCCCGCCUCGAUUGAUCACCACGGGGCCCACACGUGGUUCCCCAGGGGUCCAGACACGCCACGGGGGCCGCAGGUCACCUCUCAGGGGCGGGAGAGGCGAAAAAACCCCAGAGGAACCCCAAGGAACGCGAGGAUUCGGACGCUUCCAGUGCGCGGAUGGAGGUAUUGUGUUUGGUGACUCAAGGACUGGUAUGUGUCUUCGCUUUACUGCAGGCUGUUCCCCUGGGGCUGGUGACUGGGGCAUGGCAGCAUCAGGGGCCAGAUGUAUGCCCACUUUACGUCUAUCGUCCCCCAGGGUUCGGGAUACACUGGGGUAAUGAAGAUUUGACAUCGUGUAAAGCUGCAGCAUUUCUUCCCAUCUUGGUGGCGGGACUGUCCGUUACUCUGGCUGUGUCUCACGGCUGUGUGCUGCAUGUGUGGCGCGUCGCGGGCCACAAGCCAGUCACUGCGUCCUCCGCGGUGUAUGCCAGGGUGACGGUGGUGCUGGUCUUGUUGCAGCUAUUAGUGGCGUUCACUGGAGUCGUGAUAUUAACAGAAGGCUUCCGGCAGACUUGCAUCUCCUUUGACCUUAGCUUAUCUUGGAACGAGGCGCCGGAAACUUGCAAGAAGAGGCUGGGUGACAGGGACGCCUCCUACGCCAUCCCCAACACCUUCGUCAGGCUGGUCAUCGGGAUGGUGGGGGGGUGGGGGACCUCUGUUCUAUCUGCGUUCCUUCUUGUGGUAUGUUGUGUCCGGGCGAGGUUCUGUAAGUGUCAGCUGUUGUGUUGUGUGUGAGUGUGUGUGUGUGUGUCUGUGUGUGUGUGUGUACGUGUCUUAUUGCUAUUUCUAUUACUACUAUUACUACUGCUGCUACUACUGUGUGUUGUUGUUGUUGUUGUGUUACUACUAAUACUAUUUUUACUAUUAAUGUUAAACUAGUCUAGCUUAAGUACUACUACUACUUCUACUACUACUACUACUACUACUACUACAUGAUCAAAAUUUUAAAAUGCAUGUUUUUUUGUAUUUUUAUAUAAUUAUAUUUAUGUGGUUAGUGUUUACAUAAUGUUAAUUGAAAUAAUAAUAAUAAUAAUAAUAAUAAUAAUAAUAAUAAUAAUAAUAAUAAUAAUAAAACCUAUUUUCACAUUGUAA
Molecule: long non-coding RNA, 1398 nt
Organism: Scylla paramamosain (green mud crab)
Lineage: Eukaryota; Metazoa; Arthropoda; Malacostraca; Decapoda; Portunidae
Exons: 3
Source: RefSeq, a predicted model, not a curated record